RNAcentral lists this ribosomal RNA (253 nucleotides) under uncultured bacterium. RNAcentral's name for it is "partial 16S ribosomal RNA". It matches the Rfam family "Bacterial small subunit ribosomal RNA", at positions 524 to 776 of the family's 1533-position model. The record is from RNAcentral.
UACGGAGGGUGCAAACGUUGCUCGGAAUUAUUGGGCGUAAAGCGCACGUAGGCGGCCCAGCAAGUCGGAUGUGAAAUCCCUCGGCUUAACCGAGGACGUGCAUCGGAAACUGCUGGCCUUGAGUACGAAAGAGGAUAGCGGAAUUCCCGGUGUAGAGGUGAAAUUCGUAGAUAUCGGGAGGAACACCAGUGGCGAAGGCGGCGAUCUGGGUCGAUACUGACGCUGAGGUGCGAAAGCGUGGGGAGCAAACAGG